Long non-coding RNA from Mytilus californianus (California mussel), 1080 nucleotides. RefSeq lists it as uncharacterized. The transcript has 3 exons. Lineage: Eukaryota; Metazoa; Mollusca; Bivalvia; Mytilida; Mytilidae. The record is from RefSeq and is a predicted model, not a curated record.
AACAUCUAGCUAUACCCGACCGGGAAUUAUUUUACCAGUUUAAUAUUUAAAGAUACAUGUACCAAGUAUAUUAACAAGAUUUUCUAUUAAAAUAGCAAUAGUAAAUCCUGAGAUUGGAAUAGAUCUUCCAAGGGGAGACAAAUUCAAUAAACAACAAGAUUUGUUAAUUCAAUGGGAGAUAACUCUGUAAAAUAUGCAGAUUUUAAUGCAGUUGAAAUUCAAAUCAUUAUUCUUUGACUUCCUUUUUUUUUUCCAUCUUUAUAUUAAUUUUACAAACUUAGGUGUUGAUGUUAUACUAUUGUGAACAUGUAGUAAUGUUGACAGAAAUGGAAUUAUAAAAUAUAUAAUAAUGUAUCCAUUUUAAUUCCUUUUUAGGUUCUUUCUGUGACAUGUUUUCAUGGUGUUGGGAAUAAGACUUUGGGGUCUAAUACAUCAUAAAGGAAGGUUAACAUCGCAGUUUGUCCGUAAGGUUUGAGGUAACUGGGAAUGGCAAUUGGAGCUGACUUUUAUGGUAACUUUAACUGUGGCUGCAUGAAAAUGAUUGGGUGGCUGUACCAGUAAAGAAUGUAAUUCAGACAAUUUUUGUGUAUGUUUGAGAAAAUGUUUAUAAUUUUUUACAAAAAAAAAAAAUUGUGUAAAGAUUCUCCAUUUUCAACAAGAUUGUAAGUUAUAUAUAACUUAUUUUGAAUUUUAAAAUCUCUCUUUUUACAAUUAAAACCAAAGGAUAUAUUCAGGUAGCUCUACUCAUGUCCAUUCUUGACAGUUUUUUGUCAUGCAUAUUGAUACUGAACUGGUUGUUGUCUCACCUUGACGGAGUCGAAAAGCGAGACAUAGGUAUGCUGUUUCCGGCGUCGGCGGCGGCAUCAACAAUGUAUUAGUUUGUGAUUAGGUCUUAGUUUAUGGUGAACCACUAGUGGUAGGUCAAUGAUAUUUGGUAUGCAGUUGUAUAAGCAUUGGCAUAUCUCAUUUUCAUGAAGAUUAUUUGGCCCCGCCCCUUCAGUCAUGGUCUAUUGACUUUGAAACUUUUGCUUAGUUUACAAGUUAGUGUUUAUGUUUAGAUUUCUUUAAGGUUCCACUAAA